GGUGGGAUACUCAAGCGGUCAACGAGGACGGACUGUAAAUCCGUUGGCUAAGCCUUCGAAGGUUCGAAUCCUUCUCCCACCAC
Molecule: transfer RNA, 83 nt
Filed under: Cryomorphaceae bacterium
Lineage: Bacteria; Pseudomonadati; Bacteroidota; Flavobacteriia; Flavobacteriales; Cryomorphaceae
Description: tRNA-Tyr
Rfam family: tRNA
About the family: Transfer RNA (tRNA) molecules are approximately 80 nucleotides in length.
Source: RNAcentral